ACGGAAGGCAGCAGUGGGGAAUAUUGCACAAUGGGCGAAAGCCUGAUGCAGCGACGCCGCGUGAGUGAAGAAGUAUUUCGGUAUGUAAAGCUCUGUCAGCAGGGAAGAAAAUGACGGUACCUGACUAAGAAGCCCCGGCUAACUACGUGCCAGCAGCCGCGGUAAUACGUAGGGGGCAAGCGUUAUCCGGAUUUACUGGGUGUAAAGGGAGCGUAGACGGUCCGGCAAGUCUGAAGUGAAAUCCCGGGGCUCAACCCCGGUGCUGCUUUGGAAACUGUCGGACUUGAGUACUGGAGAGGUAAGCGGAAUUCCUAGUGUAGCGGUGAAAUGCGUAGAUAUUAGGAGGAACACCAGUGGCGAAGGCGGCUUACUGGACAGUAACUGACGUUGAGGCUCGAAAGCGUGGGGAGCAAACAGGAUUAGAUACCCUGGUA
RNAcentral lists this ribosomal RNA (434 nucleotides) under uncultured Clostridiales Family XIV bacterium. Its description in RNAcentral is "bacterial SSU rRNA". It matches the Rfam family "Bacterial small subunit ribosomal RNA", at positions 341 to 792 of the family's 1533-position model. Lineage: Bacteria; Bacillati; Bacillota; Clostridia; Eubacteriales; Clostridiales Family XIV. Incertae Sedis. The record is from RNAcentral.